AAGAAAGUAAAGAAGGGCGUAUGGCGGAUGCCUAGGCUCUCGGAGGCGAAGAAGGACGUGAUAAGCUGCGAUAAGCUGCGGCGAGGAGCAAAUAUCCUGCGACCCGCAGAUUUCCGAAU
Molecule: ribosomal RNA, 119 nt
Filed under: Hallella sp.
Lineage: Bacteria; Pseudomonadati; Bacteroidota; Bacteroidia; Bacteroidales; Prevotellaceae
Description: partial 23S ribosomal RNA
Rfam family: Bacterial large subunit ribosomal RNA
Source: RNAcentral